UCGGUUCAACAGGACAUGGUCACCACGAAUAGUUUCAGGAAGAGUAGCCCAGCCAACAGUUCCAGCGAUGGAUCAAGCUAGUAGUCAAGGUGAAGAGAGAGGUGUACCCCCUUCUUUGGUAGGAUUUCCUGGAAAGGAUCCAUCAGCACCGAUCCGGAUCUUCACCUGGGCUCAGCAGAAGACUGACACAUCAGACAGAGCAGGGUCAGGUAUGUUCAUUUUUGGAUACACUGAUGUGUUGGUAGUUGUUGUAAGAGUUAUAAGAGAGAUGUAUGAGUAGUACAGUACAGUGAAGCAGCUAGUAGAUGACGGUUUAUCUGACCUAGUACCUCACCCUGGAGCGUUCCAGUGAUGUGCGGGAAAAGCAGGAUAAAUCAGAGAUUCAGGUUCAGGUAAUAAAAGGGUAAAGAGAUUAGUACAGAGGAAGAGGAGAGCAAAGAAGAAUAAGAGUAAACGUAGAAAGAAGGAAGGUAGAAGAGAAAAGUAAUAGAGAACUAAGAAGGAAGAAGAAUAGAAAGAUCAGAGUAGCGCAGCAGAAGGUUAUGAAAGUCAAGAACAAGGUGGAAGUUUUACGUUUUGCAUGUUAGCUUUGCAUGUUGCUUUGAUUAUAUGUUACGUGUUGUUUUAACAUUCGAGGACGAAUGUUUUUUUUUAGGGGGGUAGAAUGUAAUACCCGGCUCGUUCAGGCAUCGGAAUUCUCACCGUCCGGUGGAAAUUCGGGAUGUCGGAGUUGCCAGUAAGGGUUUAAGUAAAGGUUGUAAGUAAAAAGGAUUUUGCGUUUUGAAGAAA
Molecule: long non-coding RNA, 789 nt
Filed under: Manihot esculenta (cassava)
Lineage: Eukaryota; Viridiplantae; Streptophyta; Magnoliopsida; Malpighiales; Euphorbiaceae
Description: long non-coding RNA (MESC_LNC005897)
Source: RNAcentral